This 462-nucleotide ribosomal RNA is filed under the name uncultured bacterium. RNAcentral's name for it is "partial 16S ribosomal RNA". It matches the Rfam family "Bacterial small subunit ribosomal RNA", at positions 28 to 507 of the family's 1533-position model. The record is from RNAcentral.
GACGAACGCUGGCGGCGUGCUUAACACAUGCAAGUCGAACGGAAAGGCCCUUCGGGGUACUCGAGUGGCGAACGGGUGAGUAACACGUGGGUGAUCUGCCCUGCACUUUGGGAUAAGCCUGGGAACCUGGGUCUAAUACCGAAUAGGACCACGCGCUUCAUGGCGUGUGGUGGAAAGCUUUUGCGGUGUGGGAUGGGCCCGCGGCCUAUCAGCUCGUUGGUGGGGUAAUGGCCUACCAAGGCGACGACGGGUAGCCGGCCUGAGCAGGUGACCGGCCACACUGGGACUGAGAUACGGCCCAGACUCCAACGGGGGGCAGCAGUGGGGAGUAUUGCACAAUGGGCGCGAGCCUGAUGCAGCGACGCCGCGUGAGGGAUGACGGCCUUCGGGUUAUAAACCUCUUUCAAUAGAGACGAAGCGCAAGUGACGGUACCUAUAGAAGAAGCACCGGCCAACUACGUG